Molecule: long non-coding RNA, 347 nt
Filed under: Gossypium barbadense (sea-island cotton)
Lineage: Eukaryota; Viridiplantae; Streptophyta; Magnoliopsida; Malvales; Malvaceae
Description: long non-coding RNA (GBAR_LNC004018)
Source: RNAcentral
UUUGAUUCAGUGCGACUCUUAUUCAAGAUUUCUUGCUCUGCUGGAGUACCUGUAUAUGCCAUGUAUGAUGUUAUCAUGAUAUGCACAUGUUUGUCUUAAAUGCUUUUAUGCCUACAUGAUUAUGCAGUGCUCCUUAAGCAUGUUUGUCGUAUGUCCAUUUAGCCACGAUUGUUGAGGAUCUGUGUUCAUUGCUUUGAUUCUCGACUUUCUCUUCAGUCCUUAUACCUGUCUUCAAGCUUCACGAGUAAUCGACGUUUCUCAGAUAUCACUCUUCUGCCCCCGAUUGAACUUUGUUCUUACUUUGAGACUCUUGUGCUUAUCAAAUUUUCAUCCAGGUAAUGCUUAAC